Molecule: ribosomal RNA, 440 nt
Filed under: uncultured bacterium
Lineage: Bacteria
Description: partial 16S ribosomal RNA
Rfam family: Bacterial small subunit ribosomal RNA
Source: RNAcentral
CCUACGGGCGGCAGCAGUAGGGAAUAUUGCUCAAUGGGGGAAACCCUGAAGCAGCAACGCCGCGUGGAGGAUGAAGGUUUUCGGAUUGUAAACUCCUUUUGUUAGAGAAGAUAAUGACGGUAUCUAACGAAUAAGCACCGGCUAACCCCGCGCCAGCAGCCGCGGUAAUACGGAGGGUGCAAGCGUUACUCGGAAUCACGGGGCGUAAAGAGCGCGUAGGCGGGAUAGCAAGUCAGAUGUGAAAUGCUAUGGCUUAACCAUAGAACUGCAUUUGAAAUUGUUAUUCUAGAGUAUGGGAGAGGUAGGUGGAAUUCUUGGUGUAGGAGUAAAAUGCGUAGAGAUCAAGAGGAAUACUCGUUGCGAAGGCGACCUGCUAGAACAUAACUGACGCUGAUGCGCGAAGGCGUGGGGAGCAAACAGGAUUAGAUACCCGGGUAGUC